Molecule: transfer RNA, 86 nt
Filed under: Gammaproteobacteria bacterium
Lineage: Bacteria; Pseudomonadati; Pseudomonadota; Gammaproteobacteria
Also listed under: 1 other name
Description: tRNA-Leu
Rfam family: tRNA
About the family: Transfer RNA (tRNA) molecules are approximately 80 nucleotides in length.
Source: RNAcentral
GCCGGGGUGGCGGAAUGGUAGACGCAGUGGACUCAAAAUCCACCGGUAGUGAUACCGUGAGAGUUCGAGUCUCUCUCCCGGCACCA